This 78-nucleotide transfer RNA is filed under the name Candidatus Bathyarchaeota archaeon. RNAcentral describes it as "tRNA-Leu". It matches the Rfam family "tRNA". From Rfam's summary of the family: Transfer RNA (tRNA) molecules are approximately 80 nucleotides in length. Their secondary structure includes four short double-helical elements and three loops (D, anti-codon, and T loops). Lineage: Archaea; Thermoproteati; Candidatus Bathyarchaeota. The record is from RNAcentral.
GGGCCUGUAGUUCAGAACGGAUAGAACGGGGGAGACUGAGCAACUCCCUGGGUGUGGGUUCGAGUCCCACCAGGCCCA